AUUGAACGCUGGCGGCAUGCCUUACACAUGCAAGUCGAACGGCAGCACGGGUGCUUGCACCUGGUGGCGAGUGGCGAACGGGUGAGUAAUACAUCGGAACAUGUCCUGUAGUGGGGGAUAGCCCGGCGAAAGCCGGAUUAAUACCGCAUACGAUCUACGGAUGAAAGCGGGGGACCUUCGGGCCUGGCGCUAUAGGGUUGGCCGAUGGCUGAUUAGCUAGUUGGUGGGGUAAAGGCCUACCAAGGCGACGAUCAGUAGCUGGUCUGAGAGGACGACCAGCCACACUGGGACUGAGACACGGCCCAGACUCCUACGGGAGGCAGCAGUGGGGAAUUUUGGACAAUGGGCGAAAGCCUGAUCCAGCAAUGCCGCGUGUGUGAAGAAGGCCUUCGGGUUGUAAAGCACUUUUGUCCGGAAAGAAAUCCUUGGCCCUAAUACGGUCGGGGGAUGACGGUACCGGAAGAAUAAGCACCGGCUAACUACGUG
RNAcentral lists this ribosomal RNA (486 nucleotides) under uncultured bacterium. RNAcentral describes it as "partial 16S ribosomal RNA". It matches the Rfam family "Bacterial small subunit ribosomal RNA", at positions 30 to 507 of the family's 1533-position model. The record is from RNAcentral.